This is a small nucleolar RNA of Pelodiscus sinensis (Chinese soft-shelled turtle), 139 nucleotides long. Ensembl annotates it as small nucleolar RNA SNORA46. The record is from Ensembl. Lineage: Eukaryota; Metazoa; Chordata; Testudines; Trionychidae.
GGCACUAUUUUUAAACCUAUGGAUGGAAUUUCUCUCCACUGUAGGUUACGCUGUAGUGCAAAAUAAAUCCUUGGCACUGUUGUGAGCGCAACUGACCUUUUACCAUUUGGUUGAUGCUACAGUAAGCUAAGGAAUAGAA